Molecule: ribosomal RNA, 448 nt
Filed under: uncultured bacterium
Lineage: Bacteria
Description: partial 16S ribosomal RNA
Rfam family: Bacterial small subunit ribosomal RNA
Source: RNAcentral
GCCAGACUCCUACGGGAGGCAGCAGUGGGGAAUAUUGCACAAUGGGGGGAGCCCUGAUGCAGCGACGCCGCGUGGGUGAAGGAGCACCUCGGUGCGUAAAGCCCUAUCGGCAGGGAAGAAACAGACGGUACCUGACUAAGAAGCCCCGGCUAACUACGUGCCAGCAGCCGCGGUAAUACGUAGGGGGCAAGCGUUAUCCGGAUUCACUGGGUGUAAAGGGAGCGUAGACGGCGACGCAAGUCUGGAGUGAAAGCCCGGGGCCCAACCCCGGGACUGCUCUGGAAACUGCGGCGCUGGAGUACGGGAGGGGCAGGCGGAAUUCCUGGUGUAGCGGUGAAAUGCGUAGAUAUCGCGCAGAACUCCGAUUGCGAAGGCAGCGUACCGGCGCCGGACUGACGCUGAGGCACGAAAGCGUGGGUAUCGAACAGGAUUAGAUACCCUAGUAUAG